AAAUUGAAGAGUUUGAUCAUGGCUCAGAUUGAACGCUGGCGGCAGGCCUAACACAUGCAAGUCGAACGGUAACAGGAAGCAGCUUGCUGCUUUGCUGACGAGUGGCGGACGGGUGAGUAAUGUCUGGGAAACUGCCUGAUGGAGGGGGAUAACUACUGGAAACGGUAGCUAAUACCGCAUAACGUCGCAAGACCAAAGAGGGGGACCUUCGGGCCUCUUGCCAUCGGAUGUGCCCAGA
RNAcentral lists this ribosomal RNA (238 nucleotides) under Escherichia coli. RNAcentral's name for it is "partial 16S ribosomal RNA". It matches the Rfam family "Bacterial small subunit ribosomal RNA", at positions 1 to 235 of the family's 1533-position model. Lineage: Bacteria; Pseudomonadati; Pseudomonadota; Gammaproteobacteria; Enterobacterales; Enterobacteriaceae. The record is from RNAcentral.